Molecule: ribosomal RNA, 429 nt
Filed under: uncultured bacterium
Lineage: Bacteria
Description: bacterial SSU rRNA
Rfam family: Bacterial small subunit ribosomal RNA
Source: RNAcentral
UGGGGAAUAUUGCACAAUGGGCGGAAGCCUGAUGCAGCGACGCCGCGUGAGGGAUGACGGCCUUCGGGUUGUAAACCUCUUUCAGCAGGGACGAAGCGUGAGUGACGGUACCUGCAGAAGAAGCGCCGGCCAACUACGUGCCAGCAGCCGCGGUAAGACGUAGGGCGCGAGCGUUGUCCGGAUUUAUUGGGCGUAAAGAGCUCGUAGGCGGCUUGUUGCGUCGACCGUGAAAACCCGGGGCUCAACUUCGGGCUUGCGGUCGAUACGGGCGGGCUAGAGUUCGGUAGGGGAGACUGGAAUUCCUGGUGUAGCGGUGAAAUGCGCAGAUAUCAGGAGGAACACCGGUGGCGAAGGCGGGUCUCUGGGCCGAUACUGACGCUGAGGAGCGAAAGCGUGGGGAGCGAACAGGAUUAGAUACCCCCGUAGUCC